Molecule: ribosomal RNA, 400 nt
Filed under: uncultured bacterium
Lineage: Bacteria
Description: bacterial SSU rRNA
Rfam family: Bacterial small subunit ribosomal RNA
Source: RNAcentral
GGGGAAUAUUGGACAAUGGGGGUAACCCUGAUCCAGCGAUGCCGCGUGAGUGAUGAAGGCCUUCGGGUUGUAAAGCUCUUUUGUUGGGGACGAUGAUGACGGUACCCGACGAAUAAGCCCCGGCUAACUUCGUGCCAGCAGCCGCGGUAAUACGAAGGGGGCUAGCGUUGUUCGGAAUGACUGGGCGUAAAGGGCGCGUAGGCGGUUUGAUAAGUUUGGUGUGAAAGUCCUGGGCCUAACCUGGGGAUUGCAUUGGAUACUGUUGAGCUAGAGUCCGAGAGAGGGAAAUGGAAUUGCGAGUGUAGAGGUGAAAUUCGUAGAUAUUCGCAAGAACACCGGUGGCGAAGGCGGUUUUCUGGCUCGGUACUGACGCUAAGGCGCGAAAGCGUGGGGAGCAAAC